RNAcentral lists this unclassified non-coding RNA (3506 nucleotides) under Helicoverpa zea (corn earworm). Its description in RNAcentral is "juvenile hormone esterase-like, transcript variant X1". Lineage: Eukaryota; Metazoa; Arthropoda; Insecta; Lepidoptera; Noctuidae. The record is from RNAcentral.
AAAUAUAGUUCUCUGCAAGGCUUUCAGCCACUCUAGCCUACACCUUCAGAGAAGAUGUAGUGAAGUAUUUCGUGAUUAAACAUCAACCUUAUUUAGUCGUUUAUUUAAAACGAGAAUACAAAACAAGAACUAGUAGCAAAGUAACUAGAAGUGACAACCAUGACGUCAGUGAUACAUAUCGUGUCGCUUCUAGCAGUGUUGACGGCGCCGGCGCUUGCCGUGCAAGUGAGAGUGAGCGACGGCUUGUUGGAGGGAGAGCGACUGAUCAACGAGUAUGGCGGUGCUGAGUACUUCAGCUUUAGAGGAAUCCCGUAUGCGCAGCCACCUCUCGGAGAUCUCAGAUUCAAGGCUCCACAACCUCCGACUCCAUGGAACAAUGUCCGCAGCGCCAAGGAGUUUGGUAACAAUUGUCUGCAGUACGACUUAUUCAUAGACAAAGGAAAGCGAAGUGGCGAUGAAGAUUGUCUGUACCUCAACGUGUACACUCCUGAGAUCACUCCCAGCGAGCCUCUGCCAGUCAUGGUCUGGAUCCACGGAGGAGGCUUCGUCUCCGGCAGUGGGGAUGACGCUAUAUAUGGACCUAAGUUCCUUGUGAGACACGGAGUUAUUUUAGUCACGAUUAACUACCGACUCGAAGUUCUUGGUUUCCUUUCCUUAGACACAGAAGAAGUCCCUGGAAAUGCAGGAAUGAAAGAUCAAGUGGCUGCCCUCAGGUGGGUCAAUAAGAACAUCGCCAACUUCGGUGGAGACCCUAACAAUGUUACCAUAUUCGGCGAAAGCGCCGGAGGAGUCAGUGUCUCUUAUCAAGUAAUCUCACCAAUGUCCAAAGGAUUAUUCAAGAGAGCCAUAGCUCAGAGUGGUGUCAGUGUCGGUUAUUGGGCGCAGUCAUAUAGGCCAAGAGAAAGAGGCUUCGCUUUGGCCAGGAGUUUAGGAUUACAUACUGACAAUGUCACCGAAGUUUAUGAGUUCCUGAAAGUUCAACCAGCUGAAUCACUCGUACAAAUCAAGGCGGCAGUAACAUACUCCGAACACGAAAGACCCAACGUUGAAGUUUACUUUAGCGUGACUGAUGAAAAACAAUUCGGAAACAAUGAGAGAUUCUUCUACGGAGAUAUGGUGAAUGCAGUAUCAAACAACGUGCACGAAGGAGUAGAUAUUAUGACAGGAUACACAGCUGACGAAGGACUCAUGGGUGUUGCUAUAUUCGGUCAAAUCAAUUCAAGUUUGGAACAAGCUAGAAGUUUCCCACAAUUCUUUGUAUCCUACCCAAUGUCGCUCAAUUUGCCAGUUGAUGAUCAAUUGGAACUUGGAAUGAAAAUCAGGGACUAUUAUUUCAAAAAUCAGAUUUCAAUACCUGAUGAUUGGGAAGGUCUAUCAAGAUAUUACGGCAUGGAUAUAUUCUCAUUCCCCACUGUGUGGUGGAUUAGGCUAAUCGCUCGCACGAAUAAGAACAAAGCAUAUCUGUACAAAUUCACCGUCAAGUCCGAGCUGAACAAGGCUGCGCAUAUGAUGGGAUUAGCCGACAUACUCGGAGACAGGCAGGUGGUCGCUCACAGUGACGAUUUGUCUUACUUGUUCAGUUCGCGACACAUGCCUAUUUUUGACAUGACCACGACCCCAUUCUUAUACAUUGACCGUGUUUGUAGGCUGUGGGUCAAUUUCGCGAAAUAUGGGGACCCUACUCCUGACGCAUCGUUGGGUGUGGAGUGGAAGCCAUACUCGCUGGAGAAGCAAGACUAUCUGGAUCUUGGCAACCAGCUGGUGGCCGGGAACGAGCCAGAUGCCGAAGAAAUAAAGUUCUGGGAAGAUACUCUAAUUGAAUUCGGUCAGAAACUGUACUUGGAUGAAGAUGAGGAUUCGGUCAACUCAUCCCGGUCAGCACUUAUCCCGCAGGAUAAGUUGUCCGCAUUAAUAUUAUUAUUAUUUUUCUUUGGUCAACUCAUCCGGCUUUAAAGAAAAGGUUCGUGAUCAAAAGUGUUGGGGGAAAAAUGACAAUGACCAAAGCCUCGACUGUACUGAUUAAUUAUACAAGACUGGUCAAAUACAACAAGUUCAGCGCAAAGUACCAAGAUGCCUGAUUGUAAAUUGACAAAGAAGAAAGCAACAUUACAAGGACAUAAAAUACGAAGAUUACAGUAACGUUAGUCCAAUUCCUAAUGAUACUCCUCCUACUACUGCCACUAUUGAGAAACACGUGGAUCUUUUGAAAGAUAAUUACAAAGGUCACCAUUUUACUGGAUUGUUUGCAAUGAAUGAUGACAUUCAUAAUAAAGCCUGAGCUAUAGAAGACAAAGUCGAAGUAAGACGCGUAAUACAGAAAAUUAAUUGAACCGUAUCUUUUGAGAUUAUCAUCAAGUAUUAUUUCCGUCACCCGAUACACGUACCCUGAUAAAAAGAUUACAAGUCCACACAUUAAAAUUAACUUUUGCAAGCAAUCGUUUGGUUUUACCAAAUUCUUCCUGAUGUGAAAUUUUGGAUUGAACACUAGAAUUUGUAAUAGAUUUAGAGGCAAGAAUAUUGAUUGCAAGUCCUUGUCCACUUUGUUGAUUGGACAUCUUGAAUUAAGGCUGUGACAACUGUUCCCAGUUCCGACAUCAUAUCUGGCUAUGGAACUCAUUUUAAGUUGGUUUUACUCGUUUUUCUGUAGGUAAUGUACUCUUUUAACGAACUCCAGUAAAUUGACAUGCAUGGAAAAGUUAUAUCUUAAGUUACAUAUGCUUUCCGUUAAUCCUAUUAGAAGGACACCCACUUAGAAAAUUAAUAAUUAUUGGAAGUAUGUCACGACAUGCAUUAGACACGGAAUGAAUUGUAUUUGUUCUCGUUAUCCUAAUGAACUUACAAUUACGCAAUGUCUUGUAACCCAAUCUCAAAAUUGAGGAAUUGUUCCAAAGCAUGACAAACACUGAAGUGAUAACUAAAGUGAACGUGAUUUAUUAAACGUUUACAUGAUAAUGAUGAUAGCAUAAAUUAAAAGCAUUUCACUGAUCCUUAACGUCACACCGAAUACAUUUGAUGAAAAUAACUUAACAACACAUAUGAAAACAAGACAAUAAACAGAAAAGAACAUUUAAAUUAAUAAAGAAACAAUUAAUACUAAAACUUAUAUUAACGACAAGUUUGUUUUACAAGAAGGCGAACUGCAAGCAGACUAUGAUGUAAGAGGAGAUGAGCCUGGACAGCUGCAGCGGCAGUUCAGCGUCCACUUGGAAGAGGCGACACCCGUCCAGCUUACUGAACAGAGAUCUUCGUGCUCGAUGGAUGUUCUUGUACACUCGCAUAUCGAGUUCUGUGAGAGAAAAUAUUUAAAUAAUAUAGCAGCAUUAAAAAGUGUAAUAGAUUUGUUUUUUAAAUCAAUCGCAAGCUACUGGGAAAGAGCUCAAUAGAUGUCACCGUGUUUGUUGAUGUUUAACUUCUGGUCAUGGUCUCACACUCCUUCCCGUCCAUGCACAGUGAGAGGGGGCAUUUGAUUAUUUUCCAUCUCCCAAGAAAUAUAUAGUGUCAGUUUA